Molecule: ribosomal RNA, 253 nt
Filed under: uncultured bacterium
Lineage: Bacteria
Description: partial 16S ribosomal RNA
Rfam family: Bacterial small subunit ribosomal RNA
Source: RNAcentral
UACGUAGGGUGCGAGCGUUGUCCGGAAUUAUUGGGCGUAAAGAGCUCGUAGGCGGUUUGUCACGUCUGCUGUGAAAUCCCGAGGCUCAACCUCGGGCCUGCAGUGGGUACGGGCAGACUGGAGUGCGGUAGGGGAGAAUGGAAUUCCUGGUGUAGCGGUGGAAUGCGCAGAUAUGAGGAGGAACACCGAUGGCGAAGGCAGUUCUCUGGGCCGUAACUGACGCUGAGGAGCGAAAGCGUGGGGAGCGAACAGG